AGAUUCUUCCUCACCCCUACUGUAUUUUCCGGACUUCUGCUUUCUUCUAAGAUAAAUACAGCUGAGUAACACUGAGUUCCACAUCCUCUGAGAAGUCUCACCGGCUUGGACAUAAACUUUGCUCUUGGGAACCGCUGGCUACAUGUAAGCAAUGGGAGGUGUGAAAGGAGAUGCCACUCUGCUCAAGUACAACAGGGGUUGGCACAGUACUGACCUGGCUACAUUUAAGGCUUGAGCCUUUGUGGAUUCACGCAAGAAAAGUCAUGCGAAAUUCAGCAGAUCAGAAGGUGACCCUGUCUACCCUGUCUUGCCUGGGAAGAUUGGCUGUUCCAUCCCCUAAAGCAUAGAGUAAUGAAAUAGAUCCUGAUCAUGCUUUCUCAAGGCAAGUUCAUCUACCAGCAUAAAGGUCAGCAAUUCCAGAUUUCUACUGCAAAGACUGAGCCUGCUGUCGGUCCAGACUUCUUGAAGUCGUUGUUCGUCCUGUUAUAUACACUGUAAAUUUUGCUACUGUGAUUUCAGACAGUGAAAAGCAUUAAUCCUUAAAAUUCAGUCUACCACAGCCCCUUCCUAUACUGACCAAACUGAUGCCUGUAUUAUUGUGUUGGUUUUUUAAAUGGAAUAUUUGCUUCUAAGUUAAUGUCAAAGUUCUUUGUCAUAUGCCUCCUUCCAUAUUUGAAAAAUGCAACCACUGUGACCUAACCUCCCUUAUGGCCAACUCACCUUUAUGGUUUCCAAAAUGAAUCAUUCUAAUGUCAAAGAACCAAUUUACACUUGCAGAUCAUUCAUUUACUACUACUACUACCAUGCUUAAUUGUCAUGUCCAGCUCAUACAGCACCUUCCCAAAUUCCAGAACUCAAUGUAGGUCAAAUACGAGGGAAUUUAACCUCUUCCAAAUAAUGGCCUACAUCUAAAGAGACAAAACUUGAUUUUGAAAUAGGAGUUUCAAAGUAAACAGCCCUUUCCUCCAGCUAUUUUACUGAAAGUGUUCCUAUUUUGGCUGGAGACUUCAUUUGCUUUUUCUUUUCAAAGGUAUCACAGAGCUUGACAGUACCGCAAGCUGUGUUUGGAGAGCAGGCACAAUGAGAUCAUUCUUUGGUGUCACUGCUUCUGUUCUAAGUUCAGCUUGACUCUCAAGCUGUGGUUUGACAAGACGGAAUCUGUUUUUCAGUCCACAUAGUGUCAAGAUGUCAAAGGUUCUGUAAUCAUAAGAAUGUACACUGGUAGAGAGUCUCUCAAAUGAUUCAAGAUUUUAACAUUGUUUUGAAGAGAUUUUGUCCUAGUAGAUUUAAUAUAGAGCAAGAAUUCUUUGUCUAGGCAUCUCUAACUCCAUGCAGUCUUCCUGCCAGCCCAAAACUGUAAAGUGAACAUAAAUACCACACUGUGUGCUCUGGCUAAAACAGCAGAAAUGAGUCGAUAUGCUCUUGCCUGAUUUUGAUCAAAUUUGUACCACAACAUGGUGUAUAACCGCAUAGAGCUUGUGUUAAAUGAUUACAGAGCCACUGUCUUGGUAGUCUACCAAAGCAACAACUCUGUGGUUAGAAGAUUAAAGGCAUUUCAUCAUAGCAUCUGCUCUGCUCUUAGAAUUAGAAACACCCCCAUCUGUGGAAGCUGUCACAUCUAAUAAAUAGACAGUUUCAAUCAUUACCAUCUAGGAUGUCAUCAGGAGCACAAGAUGGAAGAUGAAGAUGAUGUGCCUCAGCUGCAGGAUUUUUAAUGCUAUAUUUAUAGUGACCCAGACCUCCCCAACUAACAAAAAAAUUAUUGCUUUUUGGGCAGGGUGAGUGUAUUGGUGUGCCCCUAUGUGUUCUAAUCAAAUCAGUAUUUUCUCUCAUCUACAGAUGUACUACAGUUCUGUAAUUAUAAACUCGUAAGGUUCCCUAGAGAUUGUUUAUCUGAUCAGUAGAAACUACAUGGCAUAUAUAUACUAUCUAUAAUUUUACAUGCACAGAGUAUUGGUAGUUGAUUAUUUAAUCCUGAAUACAGCAAGCCAGAAGAUAAAAUCCAAGCAGAGAGAGUCUGAAUUAAAACUUUUCUUAAAAGAUCACCCAGUCUUUAGAAUAAAAAUGUUGAACUACUGAAGUAUUUGGUGAAUACCACAAACUUUAGCAUGCUGUUCCAAUGGUUCUUUUCUAAUUCUAAACUUACAGAAGAUAGACCUGACAGCUUAUAUGUAGCGUGAAGAACAUUCCUCUCUUUCCUAUUUUAGGAUUUAGAAGCUUGAAGACAGCUCCUAACUUCUCUUGUAAGUCAAAACAAACUUCUUGAGUCAUCAAUUCAGUAUUAACUCAAUGUUUAGUUUGAUCUUCUCUGGUCUUUCAGGUGCUUUGCAGGUGCUUACCUGCACCUUUCCUAAACAAUAAUAAUCUGUCUUGAACUGUGGACAACUGCACUAGGGGCCAUACCACAGCAUUUACCCCAGUACCACACACAGAGGCAACAUAAUUCUCUUACUACUUCCAGAAAUUCUUCCGCCUAUGAAUCCAAUUCUAUUUGGAAAUCUAAUUUACCAUUUUAAUUCUGGUUGCAGCACUUAGACAGAUGAUUAAUCACCGUGACCCUAAAGACCUUUUAAAAAUCAAAGCAUGCUUCCUGCAGACUUCAAGAGCAUAGCUUUGCAUUUGGCAGUUAAGUUACAUAUUUGCUUAUAUUCCUCUUGCAGACAAUCCAAAUGAUUUCAGUGGUUUGCCCUUUUCAUGAUUUAUGAUUCCCUCAGUCUUUCUGACACCUGUAAAUACUGUCAGUUAUCUCUGAUUUCUCUUCUGCUUGUUUCCAUGGGAUUCAGCUGCUUUCAUCACAGAAUCACAGAAUGGCCAGGGUUGGAAGGGACCUCAAGGAUCAUGAAUCUCCAACACC
Centrocercus urophasianus (Greater sage-grouse) is the source of this 2854-nucleotide long non-coding RNA. RefSeq lists it as uncharacterized. The record is from RefSeq and is a predicted model, not a curated record. The transcript has 3 exons. Lineage: Eukaryota; Metazoa; Chordata; Aves; Galliformes; Phasianidae.